This 497-nucleotide ribosomal RNA is filed under the name uncultured bacterium. Its description in RNAcentral is "partial 16S ribosomal RNA". It matches the Rfam family "Bacterial small subunit ribosomal RNA", at positions 28 to 507 of the family's 1533-position model. The record is from RNAcentral.
GAUGAACGCUGGCGGCGUGCCUGAUACAUGCAAGUCGAGCGAACAGACGAGGAGCUUGCUCCUCUGACGUUAGCGGCGGACGGGUGAGUAACACGUGGAUAACCUACCUAUAAGACUGGGAUAACUUCGGGAAACCGGAGCUAAUACCGGAUAAUAUAUUGAACCGCAUGGUUCAAUAGCGAAAGACGGUUUUGCUGUCACUUAUAGAUGGAUCCGCGCCGCAUUAGCUAGUUGGUAAGGUAACGGCUUACCAAGGCGACGAUGCGUAGCCGACCUGAGAGGGUGAUCGGCCACACUGGAACUGAGACACGGUCCAGACUCCUACGGGAGGCAGCAGUAGGGAAUCUUCCGCAAUGGGCGAAAGCCUGACGGAGCAACGCCGCGUGAGUGAUGAAGGUCUUCGGAUCGUAAAACUCUGUUAUUAGGGAAGAACAAAUGUGUAAGUAACUAUGCACGUCUUGACGGUACCUAAUCAGAAAGCCACGGCUAACUACGUG